UACAGAGGGUGCAAGCGUUGUUCGGAAUUAUUGGGCGUAAAGCGCGUGUAGGCGGCUUUGCAAGUCGGGUGUGAAAGCCCUCAGCUCAACCGAGGAAGUGCGCCCGAAACUGCAAGGCUUGAGUACCGGAGAGGAUGGCGGAAUUCCCCAAGUAGAGGUGAAAUUCGUAGAUAUGGGGAGGAACACCGGUGGCGAGGGCGGCCAUCUGGACGGAUACUGACGCUGAGACGCGAAAGCGUGGGUAGCAAACAGGAUUAGAUACCCCGGU
RNAcentral lists this ribosomal RNA (268 nucleotides) under uncultured bacterium. Its description in RNAcentral is "partial 16S ribosomal RNA". It matches the Rfam family "Bacterial small subunit ribosomal RNA", at positions 524 to 791 of the family's 1533-position model. The record is from RNAcentral.